This 292-nucleotide ribosomal RNA is filed under the name uncultured bacterium. RNAcentral describes it as "partial 16S ribosomal RNA". The record is from RNAcentral.
GGACUACUGGGGUUUCUAAUCCUGUUUGCUCCCCACGCUUUCGCGCCUCAGCGUCAGUUACAGUCCAAGGAGCCGCCUUCGCCACCGUUGUUCCUCCAGAUAUCUACGAAUUUCACCUCUACACCUGGAAUUCCGCUCCUCCCUCCUGCACUCUAGUCUAGUAGUAUUUGGUGCACUUCUCCGCUUGAAACGAAGGCUUUCACACCAAACUUGCUAAACAGCCCGCGCGCGCUUUACGCCCAGUAAAUCCGAAUAACGCUAGCACCCUCUGUAUUACCGCGGCUGCUGGCAC